Malus domestica (apple) is the source of this 1384-nucleotide non-coding RNA. The record is from RefSeq and is a predicted model, not a curated record. NCBI's taxonomy places the organism in Eukaryota, Viridiplantae, Streptophyta, Magnoliopsida, Rosales, Rosaceae.
UACUCCUUCAUAGUUCAUAUUUGCUCAUUCUUUAUGAUUUUUCUAUCAGAAUGUUCAUUGGAGAGGUUGGUCCCAGGUCAAGUACAUGCUCUAUGUGUGUCCUAUUUUAGCUGUGAGCACUUCCUUUGAAUCUGUAAAUGCAUAUAGUAUAUUCAGAUGCCAAUUUAAUAGAUUAAACAUCUGUAUUGGAUGGAGUGAACAACCUUUCUUACAUACAGCAUACAGCAUACAGCAUGUGUAUUUCAUAGAAUAUUACUGCUAGGUUGCCCUCCUCCUGGGGAGUUAAGUUAAAUAGUUUGGCAUAGAAUACCAAUGUUUACAAAAAGUUUAAGCCAUAGUAUCUUGCAAGGAUGUUCAAAGGGCUUACGGGGAGGUGAGAUGAAAAGAAAAGCCACGCAUGCUAGUACCUCUAGUUUUACUGUCACCCUUUACAGUUGAUUUGAUUGAGUGUGGAAGGGGAGGGUCUUGCUGGUUCAUGUGAAUCAGUAUUAGUGCCUCCCUUCAUAAUAGAUAUAUUUAUGUUAUAUAAUUUAUUUGGAACUUUUUUUUUUAUCAUACUGGAAUGGCUUUAUAUCGAGCUUAGUGGCAUAAAUAGAAUGCAUUUGCAACUGUAGUUUGCAGGGAUUAUAUGAUGUGGAGAUUUGUUGUUCCAUAUAAUCUUCUUUGGUGUGAGAUACUUGUGUUCUCUGUGGCAAUUAAAGUAUGGUUGAGAUGUGCAUCUCAUGAACGGAGCCUAAUGCAGGGUUCCUAGUUUAUGGACUUUAUUAUUAUUGCAUUGCUCUCUGAUCACCAGGGAGAAAUUUUGAUUGGAUGGAUCUCAUUCUUUAUUUUUAAAUGGUUCUACCAAUGGUUUGUUCUCUUGUUUGGGAUAGUAGGUAUCAUGUAUCUUUUUCAAUCUGCUACCACCCCCUGCCUUUACUCUUGGAUCAGUUUGACAUUAUUAAUCAUUUUCUUGCUUUUACUUUGGACCGAAAAAUUCCUAAUUUUCGUGAUCUAGUGACUUUGGACAUGCAAUAACUAACCUCUGUGAUCCAGUUCAGUCCAAGUUUUAUUAUUUUAUCUCAGUUGAGCCAGACUGUUGUACUAACUUUUAAUAGUUGCAUUUUCUUUACAGCCCUUCCUGGUUGAUUUAUUCAUUUUAAAUUUUAUGUGGUGAAUGAAAUAAUCUUAUGCAUAAGCUUGGCUUUUCCUCAUACCUGUACAACCGCUCGUAGUGUUGGUUAAGAAUGAGGGAAUCUGGUUAGGAUUACCAAGGUUUGUUAUCCACUAUUUUGCUAGAUUUGCUUGAGAGGUCUUAGCUAGUUUUGCUAAAUGGUGGAUUUCUUAUCCACUAUUUUGUGUUUUUGUUUUAAUAAAUUGUCAUCGUUUCUUCACCCCCCCCCCC